UUGAUAAUUAUUUAAGGUCGGGCCUGCCCAAUGAUUUUUGAAUGGCCGCAGUAUUUUGACUGUGCAAAGGUAGCAUAAUCAUUAGUUUCCUAAUUAGGAACUGGAAUGAAUGGUUUGAUGAGAAGUAAGCUGUCUCUUUUUGAUUUAGGUAGAAUUUUAUUUUUGAGUUAAAAAGCUUAAAUUUUGUAUAAAGACGAGAAGACCCUAUAGAGUUUGACAUUUUUUUUACUUGAAUAUUAGUUGGUUUCUUAUUUGUCAGGUUUUUAAUUUGUUUUGUUGGGGUGAUGAGAAAAUUUAUUAAACUUUUCUUUAUUGUAACGAUGAUUAACGGUUAUUUGAUCCUUUAUUUGGAUUACAAGA
Molecule: ribosomal RNA, 360 nt
Filed under: Arrhenodes minutus
Lineage: Eukaryota; Metazoa; Arthropoda; Insecta; Coleoptera; Brentidae
Description: partial 16S ribosomal RNA
Source: RNAcentral